Molecule: long non-coding RNA, 1004 nt
Filed under: Gossypium barbadense (sea-island cotton)
Lineage: Eukaryota; Viridiplantae; Streptophyta; Magnoliopsida; Malvales; Malvaceae
Description: long non-coding RNA (GBAR_LNC005021)
Source: RNAcentral
UUUACUCUCUAAUGGUCCAUUUUCCCUUCUUUUUCCAUCUUGAUUACACCUUAAUUAUGUUUUUCCCUUUUCCUUCUUUCUUUUGGGGUUAUCUAUUAGGUGAGAUUCUUCUAACCCUUCUUUUAACUUCCCUCACUUUAAUUAUGGAUCACUUUUUUUUCGUCAUUAUUAUUUUUUUUUUCUAAUAAUGCCUACCGAGUUUUUCUAAGCUUAAUAUAUAAAAAGGUAAAGUUCAGUACAGCGAGAAAAGUAAUGUUCACCGCAACCUCGAAUCAAGCUAAAAGCAUUGAGCUCUUACUAGUCUUAGCACAAUUAUUCACUUCUCUACAAACAUAAACAAUCUUAACAUCCUGCACGAGGAUAAUACAAUGAUCAAUAAUCUUAAACGUUUCAGCAAAUCUCCAUUGACGAAGCACUGGAUUGAAGCACCACGAUAUAAUCGCCAUUGAGUCCUUCUCAACAGCCAAAUCUCUAUUAUUUUCCCAUUCAGACUUAACAAAAACUUCCAAUGCAAUUCUGAUAGCAGUGAGUUCUGUAAGAUCAGAAUCAAAAUUUUUUAAGGGACCCGAGAGAAUAGCAAUUAGCUUACCAGUAUCGCCCUUCAGAAUACCUCCCUAACCUGCACGUCUUGGAUUACCACUCGAGGAGCCGUCCACAUUGAAUUUAAGGUAGCCCAUGGACGUGGCUGGGGCAUUCACACCAUGUUAGUUCGAAGGGGAUUCUUCACAGUAAGAGAAAAACUUGAAGAGGGAGAAUCCCACCAAGCUUCUUCUGAAAACCAAGCACUUCCAAAUGCAGCUUUCGUUCAAAAAGGUACACAAAUUUUAGGGGAUUGACUUGGAAUCUUUGGAUUAUCUUUUGUGCUUCAAUGCUUUGAUCCUUAUAGCUUGCUGGAAAUGGUGUUGAUUUUCAGGAGGAAAAUCUAUUACCAUAGAGGAAAUCUUGCUUCUAUUAAGGUUACUUUUUGUUUUGUUUUUUUAAUCGAGCAAGAGUAAGAACAACAG